Molecule: ribosomal RNA, 2276 nt
Filed under: Bacillus cereus VD022
Lineage: Bacteria; Bacillati; Bacillota; Bacilli; Caryophanales; Bacillaceae
Description: bacterial LSU rRNA
Rfam family: Bacterial large subunit ribosomal RNA
Source: RNAcentral
AGGUUAAGCUGAAGAGGCGGAGCCGCAGCGAAAGCGAGUCUGAAUAGGGCGUUUAGUACGUGGUCGUAGACCCGAAACCAGGUGAUCUACCCAUGUCCAGGGUGAAGUUCAGGUAACACUGAAUGGAGGCCCGAACCCACGCACGUUGAAAAGUGCGGGGAUGAGGUGUGGGUAGCGGAGAAAUUCCAAUCGAACCUGGAGAUAGCUGGUUCUCCCCGAAAUAGCUUUAGGGCUAGCCUUAAGUGUAAGAGUCUUGGAGGUAGAGCACUGAUUGAACUAGGGGUCCUCAUCGGAUUACCGAAUUCAGUCAAACUCCGAAUGCCAAUGACUUAUCCUUAGGAGUCAGACUGCGAGUGAUAAGAUCCGUAGUCAAGAGGGAAACAGCCCAGAUCGCCAGCUAAGGUCCCAAAGUGUGUAUUAAGUGGAAAAGGAUGUGGAGUUGCUUAGACAACUAGGAUGUUGGCUUAGAAGCAGCCACCAUUUAAAGAGUGCGUAAUAGCUCACUAGUCGAGUGACUCUGCGCCGAAAAUGUACCGGGGCUAAAUACACCACCGAAGCUGCGAAUUGAUACCGAUGGUAUCAGUGGUAGGGGAGCGUUCUAAGUGCAGUGAAGUCAGACCGGAAGGACUGGUGGAGCGCUUAGAAGUGAGAAUGCCGGUAUGAGUAGCGAAAGACGGGUGAGAAUCCCGUCCACCGAAUGCCUAAGGUUUCCUGAGGAAGGCUCGUCCGCUCAGGGUUAGUCAGGACCUAAGCCGAGGCCGACAGGCGUAGGCGAUGGACAACAGGUUGAUAUUCCUGUACCACCUCUUUAUCGUUUGAGCAAUGGAGGGACGCAGAAGGAUAGAAGAAGCGUGCGAUUGGUUGUGCACGUCCAAGCAGUUAGGCUGAUAAGUAGGUAAAUCCGCUUAUCGUGAAGGCUGAGCUGUGAUGGGGAAGCUCCUUAUGGAGCGAAGUCUUUGAUUCCCCGCUGCCAAGAAAAGCUUCUAGCGAGAUAAAAGGUGCCUGUACCGCAAACCGACACAGGUAGGCGAGGAGAGAAUCCUAAGGUGUGCGAGAGAACUCUGGUUAAGGAACUCGGCAAAAUGACCCCGUAACUUCGGGAGAAGGGGUGCUUUCUUAACGGAAAGCCGCAGUGAAUAGGCCCAAGCGACUGUUUAGCAAAAACACAGCUCUCUGCGAAGCCGUAAGGCGAAGUAUAGGGGGUGACACCUGCCCGGUGCUGGAAGGUUAAGGAGAGGGGUUAGCGUAAGCGAAGCUCUGAACUGAAGCCCCAGUAAACGGCGGCCGUAACUAUAACGGUCCUAAGGUAGCGAAAUUCCUUGUCGGGUAAGUUCCGACCCGCACGAAAGGUGUAACGAUUUGGGCACUGUCUCAACCAGAGACUCGGUGAAAUUAUAGUACCUGUGAAGAUGCAGGUUACCCGCGACAGGACGGAAAGACCCCGUGGAGCUUUACUGUAGCCUGAUAUUGAAUUUUGGUACAGUUUGUACAGGAUAGGCGGGAGCCAUUGAAACCGGAGCGCUAGCUUCGGUGGAGGCGCUGGUGGGAUACCGCCCUGACUGUAUUGAAAUUCUAACCUACGGGUCUUAUCGACCCGGGAGACAGUGUCAGGUGGGCAGUUUGACUGGGGCGGUCGCCUCCUAAAGUGUAACGGAGGCGCCCAAAGGUUCCCUCAGAAUGGUUGGAAAUCAUUCGUAGAGUGCAAAGGCAUAAGGGAGCUUGACUGCGAGACCUACAAGUCGAGCAGGGACGAAAGUCGGGCUUAGUGAUCCGGUGGUUCCGCAUGGAAGGGCCAUCGCUCAACGGAUAAAAGCUACCCCGGGGAUAACAGGCUUAUCUCCCCCAAGAGUCCACAUCGACGGGGAGGUUUGGCACCUCGAUGUCGGCUCAUCGCAUCCUGGGGCUGUAGUCGGUCCCAAGGGUUGGGCUGUUCGCCCAUUAAAGCGGUACGCGAGCUGGGUUCAGAACGUCGUGAGACAGUUCGGUCCCUAUCCGUCGUGGGCGUAGGAAAUUUGAGAGGAGCUGUCCUUAGUACGAGAGGACCGGGAUGGACGCACCGCUGGUGUACCAGUUGUUCUGCCAAGGGCAUAGCUGGGUAGCUAUGUGCGGAAGGGAUAAGUGCUGAAAGCAUCUAAGCAUGAAGCCCCCCUCAAGAUGAGAUUUCCCAUAGCGUAAGCUAGUAAGAUCCCUGAAAGAUGAUCAGGUUGAUAGGUUCGAGGUGGAAGCAUGGUGACAUGUGGAGCUGACGAAUACUAAUAGAUCGAGGACUUAACCAU